Molecule: long non-coding RNA, 696 nt
Organism: Papaver somniferum (opium poppy)
Lineage: Eukaryota; Viridiplantae; Streptophyta; Magnoliopsida; Ranunculales; Papaveraceae
Exons: 2
Source: RefSeq, a predicted model, not a curated record
UCUAAGCUCUGUAGAAACUUCACUUCUCCUUCCCUCCAUCAAUCAUCCCCGACCGCCUCUGAGCUCAGCCUCCCUAUCAACCACCUUCUCAAUAGCCAUCAAUCAACUCUUAGUCUCUAUCUAUCUCCAUCUUAGCUUCUUCUCCCAAACAGUAACCCUAGAAGCUAUGAUUGAGAGAGAUAGAGUUAGGGUUAUCUUCAAUAGCAAAAUCAAACAUCAAAUCAAGAGUUGCAGGUAUGAAUUGCAGAAGGGGUUCGUCAGAAAACUCGUUAUGGGUACCCGAACUUUCAUUGUUGCGAACAUCAAGGAGGAGAAGGAAAAUGAUCGAAGAAAACAUGAGUAUCGUGCUUAAACCCAGUCCUGUACUGACGGUGCCUGCGAAGCUGAAGUGCAAACCAAAGGAAAGAGAGAAAAGGAGCAGAACCCAGUUGUUAUUAUGGCUAAACCCGGUUGGUGUCAUUCUCGAACCUCAUUGUAAUUUAUAUUUGUAUGAAUGAUAAACCAUGUUUGCCUGCUAACCUAGCUGCCAGACUGAACAGUAUCCAAUCCCUGCAACAUAGAGUAUCUGUUUAGGCAUAACCUUGAUGUAUCUAGAUACCAUUUUCACUGGCUGCAAGUUCCAUCUCUGUUUGUGCAUCUGUCAACUUCUGAGAUGUUGAGAAAUUUAUGCAUGCUUGCAUAGUCAAGAUACCUUUU